UAGACGACAAGUCCAUCGAAGUAGGAUCUGUUCUGCCUUCCGAUGAGCCUCCUACUUUGCUUCCACCAAUUGUAAAUCGAGGAUGUCUCAAUCGCUGUCAGCAGAUGAUGCAGAUCGAAUCAUGUAGCCAGGCGGCUCCAUAUUGCAUCGGUGUAUGUGCAGUCUUUACAUAAAUGUAUCAGCAUCUCUGGGGCCAUCUUGCAUAGCUUGCAAAUCGGGUCGUUCGGCUAGUUCCGCUUUGUCAAAUUAUCUGUCGUUAGGAUUUUCCUGUGUAGUAGUAUCAAGCAAAGAUCCUGCAUUUAGGUUCUGUUUUAGCCUUCCAUAUCGAAGUGACGUUGAUUUUCCUUGUCCGGUCUUAGACCUGGUUGAGGUACGCAAUUUUUGUUGAGUAUUCUUCAUUCUCUCAUUCUCUGUCUUCCGUUUCCGGAUUGAUUUGUUGCAUUUGGAUUUCCUCCUAAAAAUUUGCGGAUUCUCUGAUCCCAUCUCCUGUUGCAGGUGCAGUUUAAUCCUCCGUUACCCUCUCCCGAGGAGGCAAGAGGCCAUGGAUCGCGGGCGGGAAGCCAGCAUUGCGGAUAAUUUCAGCGGUAAAAAAAUGACCCGUACAGACAAACAGUACACAGUCUCCGAUGCAUGCAGAACGAACCAAUCGGAGAAGCCAGCGCAGGGCAAGUGCACAUGUGUCGGUGCCCGGUGUGGUCCACGUGGACCCGGUUCCAGCCGUGCACUCACCUUGGGCUCCUCGAUAUCUGCUGUACCUUUUGUUUUUUGAUUUUGAAGCAAGCCCCCCUCUCGAUCUUUUUGUUUGCAUCAAAGCCAAUUCCAACAGCUGGGAUUGGGAAGGGGUGCAGUGCACCACCUAGGGACCAUACAUGAGUUGUUGAACUCUCCGGCCGGAUUCCAACGACGAAUA
Molecule: long non-coding RNA, 910 nt
Filed under: Setaria viridis
Lineage: Eukaryota; Viridiplantae; Streptophyta; Magnoliopsida; Poales; Poaceae
Description: long non-coding RNA (SVIR_LNC006208)
Source: RNAcentral